RNAcentral lists this ribosomal RNA (459 nucleotides) under uncultured bacterium. RNAcentral describes it as "partial 16S ribosomal RNA". It matches the Rfam family "Bacterial small subunit ribosomal RNA", at positions 338 to 795 of the family's 1533-position model. The record is from RNAcentral.
CCUACGGGAGGCAGCAGUGAGGAAUAUUGGUCAAUGGCCGAAAGGCUGAACCAGCCAAGUCGCGUGAGGGAAGACGGCCCUACGGGUUGUAAACCUCUUUUGUCGGGGAGCAAAGCGAGUCACGUGUGACUCAUUGAGAGUACCCGAAGAAAAAGCAUGGGUUAACUCUGAGCCAGCAGCCGCGGUAAUACGGAGGAUGCGAGGGUUAUAGGGAUUUAUUGGGUUUAAGGGGUGGUCAGGCGGAGGUGCAAGUCAGCGGUCAAAUUGCGGGGCUCAACCCCGUACUGCCGUUGAAACUGCAGCCCUUGAGUGCGCGAGAAGUAUGCGGAAUGCGUGGUGUAGCGGUGAAAUGCAUAGAUAUCACGCAGAACUCCGAUUGCGAAGGCAGCAUACCGGCGCGCAACUGACGCUCAUGCACGAAAGCGUGGGUAUCGAACAGGAUUAGAUACCCUAGUAGUC